GUGGAAGUGAGGAUCCUUUCCCCAUCUGACCGACUAUAAUUAUACUGUGCCCCAAUGUAAUCCUUUAUCAAAGUAUUCCAAGCCAAAAAAAAGAUCCAU
RNAcentral lists this small nucleolar RNA (99 nucleotides) under Triticum aestivum (bread wheat). RNAcentral's name for it is "Small nucleolar RNA Z103". It matches the Rfam family "Small nucleolar RNA Z103". Rfam says of the family: This family consists of several snoRNA Z103 sequences which are members of the C/D class of snoRNA which contain the C (UGAUGA) and D (CUGA) box motifs. This family seems to be found exclusively in plants. C/D box small nucleolar RNAs are known to act as a methylation guides for 18S ribosomal RNA. The record is from Rfam by way of RNAcentral. Lineage: Eukaryota; Viridiplantae; Streptophyta; Magnoliopsida; Poales; Poaceae. RNAcentral also lists the same sequence under 2 other names.